Molecule: long non-coding RNA, 237 nt
Filed under: Elaeis guineensis (African oil palm)
Lineage: Eukaryota; Viridiplantae; Streptophyta; Magnoliopsida; Arecales; Arecaceae
Description: long non-coding RNA (EGUI_LNC029601)
Source: RNAcentral
UCUUGAGCAAAAACAAUUUUCAUCCCAACAAGAUUGAACUUUAUGUAUAACUUCUCCCACUCUUAGAAGAGCCAAAAAAUCUUCCACCUUCUUAUUUCUUACCUCUAAUGAUUCAAUUUUAAACUUCUAUAGAAAUGCUAGACUCAUCUUCAUCAUCUGAAUUGCUGGAUUCAGACUCUUGGGUAAAAAAAUUUUUCAUCUUAACAAGAUUAAACUUUUUGUAUAACUUCUCCCACU